This 588-nucleotide ribosomal RNA is filed under the name uncultured bacterium. RNAcentral describes it as "partial 16S ribosomal RNA". It matches the Rfam family "Bacterial small subunit ribosomal RNA", at positions 355 to 1375 of the family's 1533-position model. The record is from RNAcentral.
UGGGGAAUUUUGGACAAUGGGCGAAAGCCUGAUCCAGCAAUGCCGCGUGUGUGAAGAAGGCCUUCGGGUUGUAAAGCACUUUUGUCCGGAAAGAAAUCCUUGGCUCUAAUACAGUCGGGGGAUGACGGUACCGGAAGAAUAAGCACCGGCUAACUACGUGCCAGCAGCCGCGGUAAUACGUAGGGUGCAAGCGUUAAUCGGAAUUACUGGGCGUAAAGCGUGCGCAGGCGGUUUGCUAAGACCGAUGUGAAAUCCCCGGGCUCAACCUGGGAACUGCAUUGGUGACUGGCAGGCUAGAGUAUGGCAGAGGGGGGUAGAAUUCCACGUGUAGCAGUGAAAUGCGUAGAGAUGUGGAGGAAUACCGAUGGCGAAGGCAGCCCCCUGGGCCAAAUACUGACGCUCAUGCACGAAAAGCGUGGGGAGCAAAACAGGAUUAGAUACCCUGGUAGUCCACGCCCUAAACGAUGUCAACUAGUUGUUGGGGAUUCAUUUCCUUAGUAACGUAGCUAACGCGUGAAGUUGACCGCCUGGGGAGUACGGUCGCAAGAUUAAAACUCAAAGGAAUUGACGGGGUCAUAGCUGUUUCCU